AUUGAACGCUGGCGACAGGCCUAACACAUGCAAGUCGAGCGGAUGAAGGGAGCUUGCUCCUGGAUUCAGCGGCGGACGGGUGAGUAAUGCCUAGGAAUCUGCCUGGCAGUGGUGGAUAACGUCCGGAAACGGGCGCUAAUACCGCAUACGUCCUGAGGGAGAAAGUGGGGGAUCUUCGGACCUCACGCUAUCAGAUGAGCCUAGGUCGGAUUAGCUAGUUGGUGGGGUAAAGGCCUACCAAGGCGACGAUCCGUAACUGGUCUGAGAGGAUGAUCAGUCACACUGGAACUGAGACACGGUCCAGACUCCUACGGGAGGCAGCAGUGGGGAAUAUUGGACAAUGGGCGGAAGCCUGAUCCAGCCAUGCCGCGUGUGUGAAGAAGGUCUUCGGAUUGUAAAGCCCUUUAAGUUGGGAGGAAGGGCAGUAAGUUAAUACCUUGCUGUUUUGACGUUACCAACAGAAUAAGCACCGGCUAACUUCGUG
This 484-nucleotide ribosomal RNA is filed under the name uncultured bacterium. RNAcentral describes it as "partial 16S ribosomal RNA". It matches the Rfam family "Bacterial small subunit ribosomal RNA", at positions 30 to 507 of the family's 1533-position model. The record is from RNAcentral.